CCUACGGGCGGCUGCAGUGGGGAAUAUUGGUCAAUGGGCGCAAGCCUGACCCAGCAACGCCGCGUGAAGGAAGAAGGCUUUCGGGUUGUAAACUUCUUUUCUCAGGGACGAAGAAAGUGACGGUACCUGAGGAAUAAGCCACGGCUAACUACGUGCCAGCAGCCGCGGUACUACGGAGGUGGCAAGCGUUAGCCGGAUUUAUUGGGUGUAAAGGGCGUGUAGGCGGGAGAGCAAGUCAGAUGUGAAAACUUAGGGCUCAACCCUGAGCCUGCAUUUGAAACUGUUAUUCUUGAGUGCUGGAGAGGCAAUCGGAAUUCGUGGUGUAGCGGUGAAAUGCGUAGAGAUAAGGAGGAACACGAGUGGCGAAGGCGGAUUGCUGGACAGUAACUGACGCUGAGGCGCGAAAGCGUGGGGAGCAAACAGGAUUAGAUACCCUAGUAGUC
Molecule: ribosomal RNA, 443 nt
Filed under: uncultured bacterium
Lineage: Bacteria
Description: partial 16S ribosomal RNA
Rfam family: Bacterial small subunit ribosomal RNA
Source: RNAcentral